Priapulus caudatus is the source of this 295-nucleotide long non-coding RNA. RefSeq lists it as uncharacterized. The transcript has 3 exons. NCBI's taxonomy places the organism in Eukaryota, Metazoa, Priapulida, Priapulimorpha, Priapulimorphida, Priapulidae. The record is from RefSeq and is a predicted model, not a curated record.
UGGCGGACAAGGUUAACCACAAGCAGUAAGAUGCAUUCGUCCACACGUGCUGUCAUGGCGGUCAUACUCGUCCUCGCGCUGAUUCUACACGUGACGUUGUCGAUGCCAGCCGAAUGCAGCGGCCCGAAUGUUUCCGAGAGUGCCCUACGCAUGUGCUCCUCUCUUCGCGCUCUCUACCGGACGCUAGACGAUAUCGUCGAGCGCAAGCUGCCAGUGAAAAAAGGAUUUGCCAUUCCUGAGAUUCGGUAAAAGUGACGCGCGGAAACAGUCGAUAAAAGAGACCUGCCAUUCCUGA